Molecule: non-coding RNA, 1732 nt
Organism: Oryza sativa Japonica Group (Japanese rice)
Lineage: Eukaryota; Viridiplantae; Streptophyta; Magnoliopsida; Poales; Poaceae
Source: RefSeq, a predicted model, not a curated record
CUCUGGGAACUUACAUAGUAAUAUAAUGGGCUAUUUAUUAGUAUUUAUCACGAAGUCAUGGGCCUAAAAUGGGCUGGGCUGGAGCCCAAAAUCAUAUACAAGGAAAAUAGCGUGGGCCAUAUUGGGCUGGGAGUCAUCAUUCCCACACCGCCGGCGAGCAAGCCGAUUCCACCGCGCCGCCGCCUUAUCUGCUUCGCCGGCCGGCGGCUGCUCGCCGGCUACCUUCCUAUACGGCGCCGGCUCGGCCAGGGCGUCGCGAGGCAAGGCCGAGGCUGGCCUCAUCGCUCGCAGCCAACCAGCAGAGCCUGCCGGCUGCCGCCGGUGCUAUGCCCGAUGGCGACGCCCUCGUCGGCGGCGGCCGCCGCCGGAGGAACGGUGGCUGCAUGGGGUUUCUUCGGCUCAGAGGACUGGAACUCGUCAUAUCUCGACAAGUGCAAGCAGAUCUUAUGUAUAGCAGCUAACAAGUGGUAUGAACAAAACAUUGGCCAAUGGGAUAUCUCAACAGUCUGAAUAUUAAUACAGAAGCUAUAUUUUUCUGAACUUGGAGGCGGCAUCCUUGACUGGGAAUCAAGUUUCAACCCAGUGAUGUAAGUAGCAAAGACCAACUAGUGAUCUGUCGAAGCUAUCCUUCUUGGGCUGUGUUUUCCCCUCUUGUUGAGAAUGCCAUUUGUUCUGGUGGAAGUCUGCAAGCUUGGUGUUUCAUGCUGGUGUCAGGAUGACAUAUGGACAUUCUGAAAUAAAAUGAAGGAUUGGUGUAGCUAUAUUCCUUGAGGAAUCUUGAAUCUGUCUUUGAAGGCUUGAAGCUGUGUAAGACUGCAUUGUCGAUUCGGCAAACUUCUGGGCCCUUGGUCUUUGAAUCUGUCUUGAGGAAUCGCUGAUCUGCAACUACCUGGGUCCAUGAUGGAUGUGUAGAGAGAAGCAGUGUCGGUCGAUCUGGGCUGAGCCUGCUUCAAUGUUUUAAUUGGCUUCUUUUUUCCAGACAGACAUCAAUUGCAGUGACAGUUCACAAACCUCCAUCUAUAUUCACCAUAGAAUCAAUCCAAUCACAGUAACUUGCACAGAUUUACAGUUAAUCAAAAUACACUGCACUUCUACAAGUAAGGUCUCAUCUUCCAGACAAGAUGUCUGGUGUCAUUGUGCCCAAGCUAUUCCCUGACCACGGGUACUGUGCGACGUAUGGGUCGACCCCUUCAUUGUGCAUUAUUGCCAGCAAGCUGGAGUUCAGGGUUGCCGGUGUAAACUCCGGCAGCGGUGCAUCUCCAUCAAGGUAUUGCAUGACCUGCCGCAUGAUAGGCCUUGCUCCGGGUAUUGGGUGUGAGCACAUCAGCCCAAGUGUCAACACCAGGCAUGCCUCAUCGACGUUGUAGAUGCCGUGCAGCUUCGGGUCCACUGUCUCUGGCAGCGAACCCUGGUGCCAGUGCUGGAGAACCCAGUCAACCAACAUCUUUCGGCCGUGGUGCGCACUGUUGCUGAUCGGCCACCGGCCACAGGUGACCUCAAGAAGGAACGUGCCGAAGGCGAACACGUCGGUGAGAGGGGAUGCCUUUCCUGUGCGUGCCAGCUCUGGGGCUAUGAAUCCCAUGGUUCCAACCAGGAGCACGUUGCUUGCUUUGAUGUCACGGUGGAUGACAACCUUGUCCCACUUCUCAUGGAGGUAGAAUAAGCCAGAAGCCACGUCUUUGAUGAUUUGCAUCCUCUGAGCCCAAUUUAAAACAGGUUUGUUGUCUUCACC